Molecule: long non-coding RNA, 245 nt
Organism: Triticum dicoccoides
Lineage: Eukaryota; Viridiplantae; Streptophyta; Magnoliopsida; Poales; Poaceae
Exons: 3
Source: RefSeq, a predicted model, not a curated record
UGAAUGGCGAUUGGAUCUAUGCUUCUAGCUGUAUCACUCGCCAUGAUGAGCUACACCAUUGAUUCAUUUUUUCACUUGCGUUGACCAGGAGCACUGGCAGCAACCACAUCAUGAAAGGGUCGAGGGAAGAUGCUCCGAUAUGCAUCAGUGAUAGCGAAGAGCUCAGGUUCGAGGACAAGGCCAACCUCAUGCAGUCGAUUAAGGUGAGUUUUCCCAUGGAUUCUAUACGUUCAGGUCCGGCCCUG